Long non-coding RNA from Oncorhynchus tshawytscha (Chinook salmon), 107 nucleotides. RefSeq lists it as uncharacterized. Lineage: Eukaryota; Metazoa; Chordata; Actinopteri; Salmoniformes; Salmonidae. The record is from RefSeq and is a predicted model, not a curated record. The transcript has 2 exons.
AAACCAGUAACACACCAGUAACACAUAGCACAUGGGUACAAAACCAGUAACACAUAGCACAUGGGUACAAAACCAGUAACACACCAGUAACACAUAGCACAUGGGUA